Molecule: ribosomal RNA, 492 nt
Filed under: uncultured bacterium
Lineage: Bacteria
Description: partial 16S ribosomal RNA
Rfam family: Bacterial small subunit ribosomal RNA
Source: RNAcentral
AGUGAACGCUGGCGGCAGGCCUAACACAUGCAAGUCGAACGGCAGCACAGUAAAUGCUUGCUCUUACGGGUGGCGAGUGGCGGACGGGUGAGGAAUACAUCGGAAUCUACUUUUUCGUGGGGGAUAACGUAGGGAAACUUACGCUAAUACCGCAUACGACCUACGGGUGAAAGCAGGGGAUCUUCGGCCCUUGUGCGAUUGUAUGAGCCGAUGUCGGAUUAGCUAGUUGGCGGGGUAAAGGCCCACCAAGGCGACGAUCCGUAGCUGGUCUGAGAGGAUGAUCAGCCACACGGGAACUGAGACACGGUCCAGACUCCUACGGGAGGCAGCAGUGGGGAAUAUUGGACAAUGGGCGAAAGCCUGAUCCAGCCAUACCGCGUGGGUGAAGAAGGCCUUCGGGUUGUAAAGCCCUUUUGUUGGGAAAGAAAAGCAGCAGGUUAAUACCCCGCUGUUCUGACGGUACCCAAAGAAUAAGCACCGGCUAACUUCGUG